RNA transcript from Glycine soja, 2177 nucleotides. It is a transcript of the gene named aspartic proteinase-like protein 1, with no coding region annotated. Lineage: Eukaryota; Viridiplantae; Streptophyta; Magnoliopsida; Fabales; Fabaceae. The transcript has 10 exons. The record is from RefSeq and is a predicted model, not a curated record.
AAGUUAUAAUAAACAAACUCUAUGCAACAGAGUACAUACAACAGAUUAGACACAUGCCUCCCCCCUCUAUCCCUUCGCCACGUUCACGGGAAAACACUAUUGGAACCCACAAAGGUGCACACUGCGCACCCGAUCCCCGCCACCACCCUCUCUAGUCUCUCCCCUGAAGAAGAAAAAAUAAAAUAAAAUAAAGAAAGCAAGCUUCAAAGUUUCAAACUUUGCACCACCCCACCUCCAAUUUCAAGGACCAGAACUCAUUUUUCCCCAAUUUAAAUCCUUUUUCGCUACCCAUUUUGGGUUUUGGUUCGUGUAACUUCUACUUCUGGAACUAAAGUUGAGCUUUUUACCUUAUUUGGGUUCUUUGUGUUUAGCUUUUUUUUUUCCUUCUUUUUCAUGGCGAUUGGGCUUCUUCUGUGGCUGUUACUGGCCAAGGGUCUUGCCAUGGAGGGUGCUGUGGGGGUCACAUUUUCUUCUAGGCUCAUUCACCGUUUCUCUGAGGAGGCUAAGGCUCAUUUGGCUUCAAGGGGCAGCGACGGUUCUGUGCUUCUUCAAGCGUGGCCUGAGAGGAACAGCUCUGAGUAUUUCAGGUUGCUUCUUAGAAGUGACGUGACACGGCAGAGGAUGAGGCUUGGCUCGCAGUAUGAGAUGCUGUACCCUUUUGAAGGUGGCCAGACCUUUUUGUUUGGCAAUGCGCUUUAUUGGUUGCAUUACACAUGGAUUGAUAUAGGGACUCCAAAUGUUUCAUUUCUUGUAGCAUUAGAUGCUGGAAGUGACAUGCUUUGGGUUCCCUGUGACUGCAUUGAAUGUGCUUCCCUGUCUGCCGGUAAUUACAAUGUGUUGGACAGGGAUCUGAAUCAGUAUAGACCAUCAUUAUCCAACACCAGCAGACAUCUACCUUGUGGUCAUAAGUUGUGUGAUGUCCAUUCCGUUUGCAAAGGCUCUAAGGAUCCUUGCCCUUAUGCAGUUCAGUAUUCCUCAGCCAAUACCUCAAGUUCUGGAUAUGUCUUCGAAGACAAACUACAUUUGACAUCCAAUGGAAAACAUGCAGAACAAAAUUCGGUGCAAGCCUCUAUCAUUUUAGGUUGUGGAAGGAAACAAACUGGUGAAUAUUUACGCGGAGCUGGUCCUGAUGGUGUUCUAGGGCUAGGACCUGGAAACAUUUCAGUCCCAAGUUUACUGGCAAAGGCAGGACUUAUUCAGAAUUCCUUUUCAAUCUGUUUCGAAGAGAAUGAAUCUGGGAGAAUUAUCUUUGGUGACCAAGGUCAUGUCACCCAACAUUCAACACCCUUUUUACCCAUAGAUGGGAAAUUUAAUGCUUAUAUUGUUGGAGUAGAGAGCUUUUGUGUUGGGAGCUUAUGUCUCAAGGAAACUAGGUUUCAAGCACUUAUUGACAGUGGAUCUUCUUUCACAUUUCUUCCCAAUGAAGUUUAUCAAAAAGUUGUAAUUGAGUUUGACAAACAAGUAAAUGCAACCAGGAUUGUUCUCCAAAAUUCAUGGGAGUACUGCUAUAAUGCCAGUUCACAGGAGUUGAUUAGCAUUCCCCCAUUGAAUCUCGCUUUCUCUAGGAAUCAAACCUUUUUAAUUCAAAAUCCUAUUUUUAUUGAUCCUGCCAGUCAGGAACAGGAAUACACCAUCUUUUGUUUGCCUGUAAGCCCUUCUGAUGACGACUAUGCUGCCAUUGGACAGAACUUCCUGAUGGGUUAUCGAAUGGUCUUUGAUCGGGAGAAUCUAAGGUUUAGCUGGUCUAGAUGGAAUUGCCAAGAUAGAGCAAGUUUCUCAUCACCUUACAGUGUUGGAUCACCAAACCCUUUACCGGUGGAUCAGCAGCAGAGUUUCCCUAAUGCUCAUGGCAUACCGCCUGCCAUUGCUGGACACACGUCCUCCAAACCCUCUGCAGCCACACCUGAACUUAUUACCUCUAGGCAUUCCUUAGUUUCAUUGUUACUGAUAUGUCACCUUUGGCUUUGGUUAUUUUGUUAAGUCUUAUCUUAUUUGCUUGUAAAUUUAUCUCGUGUCCAGACUUAAAACCUAUGAGGUUUAGUUUUUCAAUUUUGUAGGCUGUUGUAUCUAUUGGGGUUAGUGUGUUAGUGAGGUACUUUUAUUUAUUUUGGUAUAUUCUUUCGGUUGUAGUCCCUUUUUAUUCUCUUUCCUAUGUAUCUUUUUGUUCUGCUAGUGCA